Long non-coding RNA from Lemur catta (Ring-tailed lemur), 228 nucleotides. RefSeq lists it as uncharacterized. The transcript has 3 exons. The record is from RefSeq and is a predicted model, not a curated record. Lineage: Eukaryota; Metazoa; Chordata; Mammalia; Primates; Lemuridae.
CUAAUUUUAACAAAGCCAUCAUCCAGCCACAAGAACAGGAGAUGACAGAUGACUUUGAUCACUACACCAACACUUACCUGGAUAAGAACCCAGGGGAUGUACAAAAGGUUUUUGGCUUGCCAGGGACCGUCAACUGGAAACAACAUUUGCAGAUUCAAGAUGUUUACAGAAUAAAAGGCCAAGAAGAUGAAGUCACUUGUCCAAGGUCACAGAGCCACUAAGUACAGA